This 494-nucleotide ribosomal RNA is filed under the name uncultured bacterium. Its description in RNAcentral is "partial 16S ribosomal RNA". It matches the Rfam family "Bacterial small subunit ribosomal RNA", at positions 28 to 507 of the family's 1533-position model. The record is from RNAcentral.
GACGAACGCUGGCGGCGUGCUUAACACAUGCAAGUCGAACGGAAAGGCCUGCUUUCCCUUGUGGAUUGCGGGUACUCGAGUGGCGAACGGGUGAGUAACACGUGAGUGGUCUGCCCCCAACUUGGGUAUAAGCCUGGGAAACUGGGUCUAAUUCCCGAUAGGACUGCAGGGUGGUGCCUGUGGUGGAAAACGAUUUUCUAGUGGUUGGGGAUGAGCUCGCGGCCUAUCAGCUUGUUGGUGGGGUAAUGGCCUACCAAGGCGGCGACGGGUAGCCGGCCUGGGAGGGUGGACGGCCACAUUGGGACUGAGAUACGGCCCAGACUCCUACGGGAGGCAGCAGUGGGGAAUAUUGCACAAUGGGCGGAAGCCUGAUGCAGCGACGCCGCGUGGGGGAUGACGGCCUUCGGGUUGUAAACUCCUUUCGACCGCGAGGAAGCCACCUGGUUGGAAGGGUGGUGACGGUAGUGGUAGAAGAAGCACCGGCUAACUACGUG